Molecule: ribosomal RNA, 478 nt
Filed under: uncultured organism
Description: partial 16S ribosomal RNA
Rfam family: Bacterial small subunit ribosomal RNA
Source: RNAcentral
GUACACUCCUACGGGAGGCAGCAGUGGGGAAUUUUGGACAAUGGGCGAAAGCCUGAUCCAGCAAUGCCGCGUGUGUGAAGAAGGCCUUCGGGUUGUAAAGCACUUUUGUCCGGAAAGAAAUCCUUGGCUCUAAUACAGUCGGGGGAUGACGGUACCGGAAGAAUAAGCACCGGCUAACUACGUGCCAGCAGCCGCGGUAAUACGUAGGGUGCGAGCGUUAAUCGGAAUUACUGGGCGUAAAGCGUGCGCAGGCGGUUUGCUAAGACCGAUGUGAAAUCCCCGGGCUCAACCUGGGAACUGCAUUGGUGACUGGCAGGCUAGAGUAUGGCAGAGGGGGGUAGAAUUCCACGUGUAGCAGUGAAAUGCGUAGAGAUGUGGAGGAAUACCGAUGGCGAAGGCAGCCCCCUGGGCCAAUACUGACGCUCAUGCACGAAAGCGUGGGGAGCAAACAGGAUUAGAAACCCCUGUAGUCCCAUGA